UACGUAGGGGGCUAGCGUUGUCCGGAUUUAUUGGGCGUAAAGAGCGUGUAGGCGGCCAGAUAGGUCUGCUGUGAAAACUCGAGGCUCAACCUCGAGCUGUCGGCGGAAACCAUCUGGCUAGAGUCCGGAAGAGGAGAGUGGAAUUCCUGGUGUAGCGGUGAAAUGCGCAGAUAUCAGGAGGAACACCGGUGGCGAAGGCGGGUCUCUGGGCAGUAACUGACGCUGAGACGCGAAAGCGUGGGGAGCGAACAGG
This 253-nucleotide ribosomal RNA is filed under the name uncultured bacterium. RNAcentral's name for it is "partial 16S ribosomal RNA". It matches the Rfam family "Bacterial small subunit ribosomal RNA", at positions 524 to 776 of the family's 1533-position model. The record is from RNAcentral.